GUGCCAGCCGCCGCGGUAAUACAGAGGGGGCAAGCGUUAUUCGGAAUUAUUGGGCGUAAAGGGCGCGUAGGCGGCUUGGCAAGUGGAAGGUGAAAUCCCUCGGCUUAACCGAGGAACUGCCUUCCAGACUGCUUUGCUUGAGGCCGGGAGAGGUAAGUGGAAUUCCCAGUGUAGCGGUGAAAUGCGUAGAUAUUGGGAGGAACACCAGUGGCGAAGGCGGCUUACUGGACCGGUUCUGACGCUGAGGCGCGAAAGCGUGGGGAGCAAACGGGAUUAGAUACCCCAGUAGUCC
This 292-nucleotide ribosomal RNA is filed under the name uncultured bacterium. Its description in RNAcentral is "partial 16S ribosomal RNA". It matches the Rfam family "Bacterial small subunit ribosomal RNA", at positions 505 to 796 of the family's 1533-position model. The record is from RNAcentral.